GACGAACGCUGGCGGCGUGCUUAACACAUGCAAGUCGAACGGAAAGGUCCUGCGUUUGUGGCGUACUCGAGUGGCGAACGUGAGAGUAACACGUGAGUAACCGGCCCUUCACUUUGGAAUAACUUCUAGUAACGCAUACUACUACCGCAUAGGAGCUCCUGCUGCAUGUUGGGAGUUGGAAAGGGUCGGCGGUUGGGGCUGGACGCUCGGCUUAUCAGCUUGUUGGUGGGGUAGUGGCUUACCAAGGCUUGGACGGGUAGCCGGCCUGAGAGGUUGACGGGCGAGAUUGGGACUGAGAUACGGCCCAGAGUCGUAGGGGAGGCAGCAGUGGGGAAUAUUGCAGAAUGGGCGGAAGCCUGCUGCAGGAACGUCGGGUGCGGGAUGAUGGAAUUCGGGUUGUAAACCGAUGUAGCCUGUGACGCAGCGUGAGUGACGGUAAUGGGUAAAGAAGCACCGGCUAACUACGUG
This 468-nucleotide ribosomal RNA is filed under the name uncultured bacterium. Its description in RNAcentral is "partial 16S ribosomal RNA". It matches the Rfam family "Bacterial small subunit ribosomal RNA", at positions 28 to 507 of the family's 1533-position model. The record is from RNAcentral.